Long non-coding RNA from Chenopodium quinoa (quinoa), 2986 nucleotides. RefSeq lists it as uncharacterized. NCBI's taxonomy places the organism in Eukaryota, Viridiplantae, Streptophyta, Magnoliopsida, Caryophyllales, Amaranthaceae. The record is from RefSeq and is a predicted model, not a curated record. The transcript has 7 exons.
GGAUUUGGAUGGAAAAGAAAAGAAAGGAAAUUGUUUUAAUCAUAUUCCCAUGUUUGGUUGAAUAAAUGACAUAAAAAUCUAAAGGAAAGGAAGGGAAGUGAGAGGAAAGUCUCUUAACAAAAUUUUGGCUUUCUUUUCCUCCCAAAAUUGGAGGAAUUUGACUGGAAAGAGAAAAAUAAAAGUAAUUUCCUUUCUCUUCCCUUCAUUUCCUUUCUUCAACCAAAUAUUGGAAAAUAAAAUCACCUUUCUUUCCCUUCUUUUCCUUUCUUUUCCCUUCCCAUCCUUUCUCUUCUUUUCCUUUACUAAUAUAGAACCAAAUAAAGCCUUACUCCCUCUACACCGUCGACAGCGGCGAAAAGGCCAUCAUCUUCGACCGUUUUUGCGGAGUUCUCGAUGAAACUGUCGGCGAAGGUAUUCAUGUCCGAAUUCCAUGGCUUCUGAAGCCUUACACCUUCGAUAUUCGUACUCGACCUCACAAUUUUUCAUCAAUUUCUGACUCUUAGGGUCCGUCAUCAGAUUGGAGUAUGAUGAGAAGGUUCUUCCUUCUAUUGGUCUUGUCCGGGACAGCUUGAUUAAGAGUUGAAUUAUUGGUGAUCAUGUUGUUGUACUACUCCGAAAAGGUUUGUGCUAAUCUGGUGUGAUGAUUUGCUUAAAGGAACAAUAGAAGUAUCUUGCACUCCUCUUAACAAAACGAGUACCUAUAAUUCUUCUAAUGCUUUGUAAAGAUGAUCAAGAAAAUACAGGCCAGUUGCAUUCAGCUGUAUUCUAUAUAAAACGAUCAUUCAGCUCUUCUUGUCUUUCGUCUCAUGCUCUUAAUCAACAUACACAGUAAAUUCAAGUGACAUAAUGAAGACUGAUGCAAGGAAUUUAGAUGCCUUGCCGCCUGAAUUGGCAACGCCUGCUAAACUACCAUCACUAGCUUCGAAACUGAGAUGCAUAAUGGGCCAAAAAGCAUAGCUGGAAAAGAUCAAGGUGAAUAUGCUAGUACAACAGAAAAGUUGCAAGGAAGUUGCUUGUUUGGACAAGAAAUUAUUAAUCAAGAGCAUGUGGAUCAUGUAGCAUUGGAGGUGUCUAUCAAUUCAGAAAGCUCGCCUUGUGGCAUCUAUUUGACCAAUUUUGAUCCAGAGCACAAUGUCCAUAGAGAAAAUAUUAGUCUAGGUCACCUUAAAAUCCUCAACGAUUCUCCUUUCCACAACACGUUGUUAUAAGUAUGAACUUAUUUACAAGGAAAGUGAAGUGUCUGAAUUGAAGUGAAAACAAGUCAAAAGUGAUGCGGAGGCAUAUGAAAUGUAUAGUGAUUAUGCAUUUAGGCAUGGAUUUACUAUUAGGAAGGGGAAAAUUCGAUAUGUUGGUAAUUCAAGUGUUUGGAGAGGCAGAAACUACCUAUGUUUAAAUGCUGGUUUGAAGGAUACUUCUUAUAAGGUGCCUAGGAAGUUUUCUAAGUUGGAUUACCCUACAUAUUGUGAAGCUUACAUUGAUUUUGUAAUUGAUGAGAAGGGUGUUUGGACUGCUGUUAAACAUAAUAUGGAUCACAACCAUGCUAUGAUACCUGUUUAGAAGAGACAUCUUCUUAGGUCUUAAAGGAUAAUUCAAGGUGAGCAUUUGAAGUUCAUUAGUACUAUGAAGGCUAGUGGGGUUAGGGUUACAGAUUCUGUUCAUGCUUUUGGGAAAGAAGUAGGUGGAUCUCCUAAUCUAUGAUACUCUAUUACUGAUGUUUACAAUGCUUUAGCUACUGAAAAAGCUGGCAGAUUAGAAGGUGGUGAUUGUAAUGCUUUGAUCAAGUCUUUUGCUGCAAGACAAGCGAAAGAGAGUAACUUUUAUUAUGAGUUUGAGGUUUAUGGAAAUCAUUCCCUUUGUAGUGUAUUUUAGAGGGAUGGAACAAUGCGAAGGGAUUAUGAAGCCUUUGGUGAUUUGAUGGUCUUUGAUACCACCUAUAUAUAGAAUCAAAUAAUAUGGAAUGAUUUGUGCUUCUUUUAUUGGUAUGAAUCAUCAUUGCAAUAAUGUCAUGUUUGGAAUGGAUUUUGUUCUUGAUGAAAAGACCAGAAGUUUUGUAUGGUUGUUCGAGGCUUUUAUGAGAUCUAUGGGAGGAUGUCGAGACCCCAUAACCUUAAUGACUGAUCAAGCCCCUUCAAUUGUUGUAGCAAUUCGACAAAAUUUUCCAAGCACUCGGCACCGUUUGUGCACUUGGCACCUUGGUGAGAAUUCAAAGAUCAAUAUACGAGGACUAAGAAUAUUUAAAGGGUUUCCAGAAGUUUUCGAUUAUUUGCUCAAGUACUGUGAAAGCCUUGCUCAAUUUGAACAUUACUAACCAAAGUGGAGUAUUGUCAUCCCAAAGGAGUGAAACAACACAUCAUUCUAUUUCUAAUAGAUUGAAUAAAACAGAUGGUUUGAGUGACUUUUAUAGUACAUUUCCUGUUAUAUUAGAGUGGAGGAGUAUAGAAAGUAAGCAAUAUUUACGUAUUUUGAGGGGUAACCCGUCAUCUUGCAGUAGCUAAUGUCAGUUUGCUCAUACACGCUAGGGAGAUUUAUACUAUUUCUGUGUAUGUGGUUUUUAAGGAAUAAUUUGCAAAAAGGCAUUUCAAGUUUUCAAGAGGCAAAAGUAUGAAGAUGAUGAGACUAUUUUUUAUUAUGUUUGGAGGCCAAAUAAGGACAUUAUAAGGCAUGAAGUUACUUAUGAGAAAUUCACCUUCAACAACAAUUGCACUUGUAAGUAUUGGAGUAUAAUGGGGUUGUUAUGUGGACACUCUCCUUGUAUCCAAAUUGCGACUUUCCCUCCAAUUUCAUUCUCUCGUGAUUCAUAUUUUUAUUCCAUGUGAAAAUGAUUGGGUGUGUCCUUGGUUGCUUAAUACCUCUUUUUUGCACUCGAUCACGAUACAACAACGGUGCCAUUAAAAAAGGGAUUUGUUAAACAUCGCCCACAAAUUACUACAUAAAGCCCACAAAAUUCACUUGGUUUGACAAUAUUGCCCUUGACCUAAAAAAAAAA